Molecule: long non-coding RNA, 799 nt
Organism: Chrysoperla carnea
Lineage: Eukaryota; Metazoa; Arthropoda; Insecta; Neuroptera; Chrysopidae
Exons: 3
Source: RefSeq, a predicted model, not a curated record
AGUAAUUGUGAUCGAAUCUGAAAGAGAAUAAGUUGACAAAAGGACGGUCUAGGAUUUGAGUGGAAGUCUAUAAAACGACUACAACUCUAUGGAUUAAUCAGUGAAAUGUCAAAAUUAUUUGACAACAACAAAACGCAUUUACGUAUAUUUUUACACUUAAGAUAUUUUAUUUCAUUAAAAUAUAAAUAUUCUUUGGCUUAGAAUUUACAAAAAAUGGCUUUAAAUAAAACCUUUAAAAGAAUUAAAAUGAUAUGAACUAAAAAUAUCACAGUCAACUACACCAGGCUACAUAACCUCUUUUGUGCAAUGUUUUUGUUAAUUAAGUAAAUCUCCAACAACGAUAUUAUACGGAUGGGGUGGAGAAAUAUAAGAAAUAAAACCGUACCUUAAAAAUCCAGGCAAAACCACCACAGGAUACCGAAAAUACACCUCCAAACAAACAACACCCGCCGUUGAUGAAAUAACCAGAGGACGUUAUUGUUGCAAGAUUUCCAGUUUCUCCACGAUAGUAUAAUUAUCGAUGUAAUAUUAAAACGUGCUCGCGUUGCGGGCACGAACGUGUAUAUUAUUAUUUUUUUAAUAAAUUUUCUAUUUGAUGUGUACCCUUCAAUGGUGAUUUGUUCAAGAGACCUAAUUUUUAAAUUGUUUUUGGCUUUUUUGCUCGGUUUUGUAUUCAUACGCGAACUACGUUGUUUUCGUUUGUUAAAUUUUAAUAAUUGUUGCGCACGGUGGCUAUUCACACGUUAGCGUGUACUAACGUCCGUUCACACGCUAGCGUGAUUUUAAUUCAACUUUUUUU